RNAcentral lists this ribosomal RNA (346 nucleotides) under uncultured bacterium. Its description in RNAcentral is "partial 16S ribosomal RNA". It matches the Rfam family "Bacterial small subunit ribosomal RNA", at positions 338 to 682 of the family's 1533-position model. The record is from RNAcentral.
CCUACGGGGGGCAGCAGUGAGGAAUAUUGGUCAAUGGCCGGGAGGCUGAACCAGCCAAGUCGCGUGAGGGAAGACGGCCCUACGGGUUGUAAACCUCUUUUGUCAGGGAGCAAGGUGCAGGGCGGGACCGGCUGUGAGAGUACCGGAAGAAAAAGCAUCGGCUAACGCCGUGCCAGCAGCCGCGGUAAUACGGAGGAUGCGAGCGUUAUCCGGAUUUAUUGGGGUGAAAGGGUGCGCAGGCGGAGGCACAAGUCAGCGGUAAAAUCGCGGGGCUCAACCCCGCUCCGCCGGUGAAACUGUGUCCCUUGAGUGCGCGACGGGUAGGCGGCAUGCGUUUUGUAGCGGU